RNAcentral lists this ribosomal RNA (506 nucleotides) under uncultured bacterium. RNAcentral describes it as "bacterial SSU rRNA". It matches the Rfam family "Bacterial small subunit ribosomal RNA", at positions 29 to 523 of the family's 1533-position model. The record is from RNAcentral.
AUUAAACGCUGGCGGCAUGCCUUACACAUGCAAGUCGAACGGCAGCACGGGAGCUUGCUCCUGGUGGCGAGUGGCGAACGGGUGAGUAAAGCAUCGGAACGUGCCCUGGAGUGGGGGAUAACGUAGCGAAAGUUACGCUAAUACCGCAUAUUCUGUGAGCAGGAAAGCAGGGGAUCGCAAGACCUUGCGCUUUGGGAGCGGCCGAUGUCGGAUUAGCUAGUUGGUGGGGUAAAGGCCUACCAAGGCGACGAUCCGUAGCGGGUCUGAGAGGAUGAUCCGCCACACUGGGACUGAGACACGGCCCAGACUCCUACGGGAGGCAGCAGUGGGGAAUUUUGGACAAUGGGCGCAAGCCUGAUCCAGCCAUGCCGCGUGAGUGAAGAAGGCCUGGUUGUAAAGCUCUUCGGUUGGGGAAGGAAAGUUAGCACGGGUUAAGUAGCCUGUGUAGAUGACGGUACCUGGAGAAGAAGACACCGGACUAACUACGUAGCCAGCAGCCGCGGUAA